ACGUGAGUAACCUGCCCUUGACUCUGGGAUAAGCGUUGGAAACGACGUCUAAUACCGGAUACGAGCUUCAGCCGCAUGGCUAGGAGUUGGAAAGAAUUUCGGUCAAGGAUGGACUCGCGGCCUAUCAGCUAGUUGGUGAGGUAAUGGCUCACCAAGGCGACGACGGGUAGCCGGCCUGAGAGGGUGACCGGCCACACUGGGACUGAGACACGGCCCAGACUCCUACGGGAGGCAGCAGUGGGGAAUAUUGCACAAUGGGCGCAAGCCUGAUGCAGCAACGCCGCGUGAGGGACGACGGCCUUCGGGUUGUAAACCUCUUUUAGCAGGGAAGAAGCGAAAGUGACGGUACCUGCAGAAAAAGCACCGGCUAACUACGUGCCAGCAGCCGCGGUAAUACGUAGGGUGCAAGCGUUGUCCGGAAUUAUUGGGCGUAAAGAGCUCGUAGGCGGUUUGUCGCGUCUGCUGUGAAAACGCGAGGCUCAACCUCGCGCCUGCAGUGGGUACGGGCAGACUAGAGUGCGGUAGGGGAGAUUGGAAUUCCUGGUGUAGCGGUGGAAUGCGCAGAUAUCAGGAGGAACACCGAUGGCGAA
RNAcentral lists this ribosomal RNA (590 nucleotides) under unidentified microorganism. RNAcentral's name for it is "bacterial SSU rRNA". It matches the Rfam family "Bacterial small subunit ribosomal RNA", at positions 115 to 719 of the family's 1533-position model. The record is from RNAcentral.